This 491-nucleotide ribosomal RNA is filed under the name uncultured bacterium. RNAcentral's name for it is "partial 16S ribosomal RNA". It matches the Rfam family "Bacterial small subunit ribosomal RNA", at positions 29 to 507 of the family's 1533-position model. The record is from RNAcentral.
GUGAACGCUGGCGGUAGGCCUAACACAUGCAAGUCGAACGGCAGCACAGUAAGAGCUUGCUCUUACGGGUGGCGAGUGGCGGACGGGUGAGGAAUACAUCGGAAUCUACUUUUUCGUGGGGGAUAACGUAGGGAAACUUACGCUAAUACCGCAUACGACCUACGGGUGAAAGCAGGGGAUCUUCGGACCUUGCGCGACUGAAUGAGCCGAUGUUGGAUUAGCUAGUUGGCGGGGUAAAGGCCCACCAAGGCGACGAUCCGUAGCUGGUCUGAGAGGAUGAUCAGCCACACUGGAACUGAGACACGGUCCAGACUCCUACGGGAGGCAGCAGUGGGGAAUAUUGGACAAUGGGCGCAAGCCUGAUCCAGCCAUACCGCGUGGGUGAAGAAGGCCUUCGGGUUGUAAAGCCCUUUUGUUGGGAAAGAAAAGCAGCAGGUUAAUACCCCGCUGUUCUGACGGUACCCAAAGAAUAAGCACCGGCUAACUUCGUG